RNAcentral lists this ribosomal RNA (2850 nucleotides) under Panacagrimonas perspica. RNAcentral's name for it is "23S ribosomal RNA". It matches the Rfam family "Bacterial large subunit ribosomal RNA". The record is from RNAcentral. Lineage: Bacteria; Pseudomonadati; Pseudomonadota; Gammaproteobacteria; Nevskiales; Nevskiaceae.
GUUAUAUGGUCAAGUGAUCAAGCGCAUCUGGUGGAUGCCUUGGCGGCAACAGGCGAUGAAGGACGUAGUAGCUUGCGAUAAGCCACGGGGAGGUAGCAAACAACCUUUGAUCCGUGGAUUUCCGAAUGGGGCAACCCACGCUUUACGCGUAUCCCGCAAGGGAAGCUAACCCGGAGAACUGAAACAUCUAAGUACCCGGAGGAAAAGAAAUCAACCGAUAUUCCGCAAGUAGUGGCGAGCGAACGCGGAGCAGCCUAAACACCGAAACUUAGCAGAAGGGUCUGGAAAGUCCCGCCAUAGCGAGUGAUAGCCUCGUAUGCGAAAAGUCAGGUGUUGACAUUAAGUAGGGCGAGGCACGUGAAACCUUGUCUGAACAUGGGGGGACCAUCCUCCAAGGCUAAAUACUCGUUGCCGACCGAUAGUGAACCAGUACCGUGAGGGAAAGGCGAAAAGAACCCCGGCGAGGGGAGUGAAAUAGAACCUGAAAUCGGAUGCGUACAAGCAGUCAGAGCCCGCAAGGGUGAUGGCGUACCUUUUGUAUAAUGGGUCAGCGACUUACUAGUCUGUAGCGAGCCUAACCGUAUAGGGGAGGCGCAGGGAAACCGAGUCUGAAUAGGGCGAUUAGUUGCAGGCUGUAGACCCGAAACCCGUCGAUCUAUCCAUGUCCAGGGUGAAGAGUGGGUAACACCACUUGGAGGCCCGAACUCACGCCUGUUGAAAAAGUCGGAGAUGAGGUGUGGAUAGGAGUGAAAGGCUAAUCAAGGCGGGUGAUAGCUGGUUCUCCUCGAAAGCUAUUGAGGUAGCGCCUCGUGUCUAACUACCGGGGGUAGAGCACUGUUUCGACUAGGGGGGACACAAGUCCUUACCAAAUCGAUGCAAACUCCGAAUACCGGUAAGUUCAAUCACGGGAGACACACGGUGGGAGCUAAAUUUCAUCGUGAAGAGGGAAACAACCCAGACCGCCAGCUAAGGUCCCUAAAUUACGGCUAAGUGGUAAACGAUGUGGGAAGUCAUAGACAGCCAGGAUGUUGGCUUAGAAGCAGCCAUCAUUUAAAGAAAGCGUAAUAGCUCACUGGUCGAGUCGGCCCGCGCGGAAGAUGUAACGGGGCUAAGCCGUGUACCGAAGCUGCGGAUGCACAGCAAUGUGCGUGGUAGAGGAGCGUUCUGUAAGCCUGCGAAGGUGACUCGUAAGGGUUGCUGGAGGUAUCAGAAGUGCGAAUGCUGACAUGAGUAACGACAAUGACGGUGAAAAACCGUCACGCCGUAAGCCCAAGGGUUCCAGCGCAACGAUAUUCGGCGCUGGGUGAGUCGGCUCCUAAGGCGAGGCCGAAAGGCGUAGUCGAUGGAAAGCUGGUUAAUAUUCCAGCACUUGUUUCUGCUGCGAUGGGGUGACGGAGAAGGUUAGGCAAUCCACCUGUUGGAUGGUGGUUUAAGCGUUUAGGAGUGCCCGGUAGGCAAAUCCGCUGGGAUUAUCUGAGACGUGAUGACGAGGCUCUUUGAGCUGAAGUUGCUGAUACCCCGCUUCCAAGAAAAACCUCUAAGCUUCAGGCAGAUACGAGCCGUACCCCAAACCGACACAGGUGGGCGAGGAGAGUAUCCUCAGGCGUUUGAGACAACUCGGGAGAAGGAACUCGGCAAAUUAGAACCGUAACUUCGGGAUAAGGUUCGCCCACGCAAGUGGGCCGCAGUGAAGAGGGGGUUGCGACUGUUUAUCAAAAACACAGCACUCUGCAAACACGAAAGUGGACGUAUAGGGUGUGACUCCUGCCCGGUGCUGGAAGGUUAAUUGAUGGGGUCAGCCGCAAGGCGAAGCUCUUGAUCGAAGCCCCAGUAAACGGCGGCCGUAACUAUAACGGUCCUAAGGUAGCGAAAUUCCUUGUCGGGUAAGUUCCGACCUGCACGAAUGGAGUAACGAUAGCCCCACUGUCUCCUUCCGAGGCUCAGUGAAAUUGAAAUCGCUGUGACGAUGCAGUGUUCCCGCGGCAAGACGGAAAGACCCCGUGAACCUUUACUAUAUCUUUACAUUGGAUUUUGAGUUUGUUUGUGUAGGAUAGGUGGGAGGCAUUGAAACCUGGACGCUAGUUCAGGUGGAGCCAACCUUGAAAUACCACCCUGAUAAACUCGGAAUUCUAACCUCGACCAGUCAUCCUGGUCAGGGACAAUGUAUGGUGGGUAGUUUGACUGGGGCGGUCUCCUCCCAAAGAGUAACGGAGGAGUGCGAAGGUCAGCUCAGCGCGGUCGGAAAUCGCGCUCUUGAGUGCAUAGGCACAAGCUGGCUUGACUGCGAGACAGACGAGUCGAGCAGGUACGAAAGUAGGUCUAAGUGAUCCGGUGGUUCUGUAUGGAAGGGCCAUCGCUCAACGGAUAAAAGGUACUCCGGGGAUAACAGGCUGAUACUGCCCAAGAGUCCAUAUCGACGGCAGUGUUUGGCACCUCGAUGUCGGCUCAUCACAUCCUGGGGCUGUAGCAGGUCCCAAGGGUCCGGCUGUUCGCCGGUUAAAGUGGUACGCGAGCUGGGUUCAGAACGUCGUGAGACAGUUCGGUCCCUAUCUGCCGUGGGCGUUCGAGAUUUGAGAGGAGUUAACCUUAGUACGAGAGGACCGGGUUGAACGUAUCUCUGGUGUUCCAGUUGUCACGCCAGUGGCAUCGCUGGGUAGCUAUAUACGGACGGGAUAAACGCUGAAAGCAUCUAAGCGUGAAGCCCACCUCAAGAUGAGAUCUCGCGGGUCUUCGAGACCCCUAAAGAGCCCUUGUAGACCACAAGGUUGAUAGGCACGGUGUGUACGGCCGGUAACGGUCAGCUAACGUGUACUAAUUGCUCGUGCGGCUUGACCAUAUAACGCUCAAGCA